Molecule: long non-coding RNA, 232 nt
Organism: Chelonia mydas (Green sea turtle)
Lineage: Eukaryota; Metazoa; Chordata; Testudines; Cheloniidae
Exons: 3
Source: RefSeq, a predicted model, not a curated record
GCAGGCCUUGUUGAAGGCCUACAAAAGGGACAUGGGGCCUGAGACAGGUGAGACACCUGCCAGCAGAGGGCUCUCCAAGGCCUGGAAAAGAGCUAAUUCCCAGAUGACCAGCAGGAGGCGUCGCACUGCCAACUCGUCUCAGGACUGGAUCCACGAAUAAUGAUGGAGGUUUGACAUGCGGCAAGAGCAUGUAGAAGUUGCUCAGAAUUUAGUGCAGAGGAAAUCUAUGAAG